Molecule: ribosomal RNA, 253 nt
Filed under: uncultured bacterium
Lineage: Bacteria
Description: partial 16S ribosomal RNA
Rfam family: Bacterial small subunit ribosomal RNA
Source: RNAcentral
UACGAAGGGUGCAAGCGUUGUUCGGAUUUAUUGGGCGUAAAGGGCGUGUAGGCGGAAAAAUAAGUCAGGUGUGAAAUCUCGGAGCUUAACUCCGAAACAGCGCCUGAAACUGUUUAUCUAGAAUCUCGAAUGGGGAGGCGGAAUUUCGCAUGUAGGAGUAAAAUCCGUAGAGAUGCGAAGGAACACCAGAGGCGAAGGCGGCCUCCUGGGAGAGUAUUGACGCUGAGGCGCGAAAGCGUGGGGAGCAAACAGG